RNAcentral lists this ribosomal RNA (253 nucleotides) under uncultured bacterium. Its description in RNAcentral is "partial 16S ribosomal RNA". It matches the Rfam family "Bacterial small subunit ribosomal RNA", at positions 524 to 776 of the family's 1533-position model. RNAcentral also lists the same sequence under 1 other name. The record is from RNAcentral.
UACGAAAGGGGCUAGCGUUGUUCGGAAUUACUGGGCGUAAAGCGCACGUAGGCGGCCUUGUAAGUUGGGGGUGAAAUCCCGGAGCUCAACUCCGGAACUGCCUUCAAAACUACAAAGCUAGAGGAUGUGAGAGGAGAGUGGAAUUCCGAGUGUAGAGGUGAAAUUCGUAGAUAUUCGGAAGAACACCAGUGGCGAAGGCGACUCUCUGGCACAUUUCUGACGCUGAGGUGCGAAAGCGUGGGGAGCAAACAGG